CCUACGGGAGGCUGCAGUCGAGAAUCAUUCACAAUGGGGGAAACCCUGAUGGUGCGACGCCGCGUGGGGGAAUGCAGGUCUUCGGAUUGUAAACCCCUGUCAUGUGGGAGCAAAUUAAAAAGAUAGUACCACAAGAGGAAGAGACGGCUAACUCUGUGCCAGCAGCCGCGGUAAUACAGAGGUCUCAAGCGUUGUUCGUAAUCACUGGGCGUAAAGCGUUCGUAGGCUGUUUCGUAAGUCGUGGGUGAAAGGCGCGGGCUCAACCCGCGAACGGCACAUGAUACUGCGAGACUAGAGUAAUGGAGGGGUAAGCGGAAUUCACGGUGUAGCAGUGAAAUGCGUAGAUAUCGAGAGGAACACUGGUGGCGAAGGCAGGUUACUGGACAUUAACUGACGCUGAGGCACGAAGGCCAGGGGAGCGAAAGGGAUUAGAUACCCUGGUAGUC
Molecule: ribosomal RNA, 446 nt
Filed under: uncultured bacterium
Lineage: Bacteria
Description: partial 16S ribosomal RNA
Rfam family: Bacterial small subunit ribosomal RNA
Source: RNAcentral